Molecule: long non-coding RNA, 1244 nt
Filed under: Castor canadensis (American beaver)
Lineage: Eukaryota; Metazoa; Chordata; Mammalia; Rodentia; Castoridae
Description: lncRNA (ENSCCNG00000031606.1)
Source: RNAcentral
GGCCAAGGGAAACCACUAUCACAAUAAUGUGGACUCUGGAAGGAUGAAAGUGGUUGGUAGCUCAGCCAUUGCAGCUGGGAAACAACUCGUUCCAAAAAGCCAAUUCCUUUUCCCCAUUUGUAAAUGUUGGCCCUAAUCCAUGAGCAACUUAUUUUUCUAAGAGAAGUAUGUUUACUGGUGCUCACCAAGUAUCUGUGGUUCUCUAUAACAGUCACCAGUGCAUUGUCACAUUCACACAAACAGAAAGGUUCCAGCACAUGGAUAUGGUGGUUUGCAUGUGAGUGCUAGACAGGCAGUAACAGCAGGUACUGGAACUCCUCACCUACAGCUCAUUUUGGUCCCCAAGGUUCAGGGUGAGGUAAUUAACUCAGGUCCUUCAGGAAGGUACCAAACUCCUAAGAGGAAGUCAGGUCACUGUAUCACAGUGAGUCUUGCUGGACACAGGCCAUUCUACUCUAUCGUCCCUUGAGACAUGAGAUAAUCAGGCAACAUAAGCUGUUCAAGGGUCCCCUACAGUGCUUCAAGAGAACUUAAAGUUAUUAUGAAGUAACCCAAAUAGACUUCUCUCAAUAAGUUUGUCACACAUAGGUCAGUAACAAUGCCUAGGUAAUGAAGCUAUGCUGGUUUGGAUCUCUUGUCCCUCAUGUCACACCUCUAUGAUCACAAACAAGCACCUACAAAAUCAUUUUAGUAUCAUUUACCAAUUUGAAUACCUCUAUUCCCCUACCUAUAGCUUAUGGAGGCAAAUAGCAAUGUUUUCCAUUUUCCCCAAAUUAAGAUAAAUGACCAGCGAUUACUAAAGAGUCAACCAUCUUCAAGAAGUUUAGAAAAUGAAUGAUGGUUUUUUUUUUCUUUCUUUCUUUUUUAACUUUUUCUUUUCUGACACUGUUCUGAUGACACAAGGGAAACAGGCUGGUGUUCUGUGCUAUCACUCACCUGUGCCAUUGGCCAGGCCACUGUGGCUUGGGUUCUUGAUGGGUUGGCGGUGCCGAUUCCUGGUACCAGGGCUUUGCUCACCAGUUGCUGUGAUUGUUCUGGAUGAACCACCUGAAUGUCUGUGCGUCCUGGAUCUCCCACCAAAGCAGUUUGUGCUGGGGAGUGGGUGCCGGUUCUCUGGAGCCACAACUGUCCCAAUGGAUUCUCUUGAAGAUGGCUGCGAUCCUGGAAAGGGAAUCAAUCACAAGAAAAGACAGAAACAUUGAGACACUCAACCUCAUUCGAGAGUUGGCUACCAAGCACAGAUU